GUGCAUGGGGCAGCUACCAUGCAGUCGAGCGGUAGCACAGAGAGCUUGCUCUCGGGUGACGAGCGGCGGACGGGUGAGUAAUGUCUGGGAAACUGCCUGAUGGAGGGGGAUAACUACUGGAAACGGUAGCUAAUACCGCAUAACGUCGCAAGACCAAAGUGGGGGACCUUCGGGCCUCAUGCCAUCAGAUGUGCCCAGAUGGGAUUAGCUAGUAGGUGGGGUAACGGCUCACCUAGGCGACGAUCCCUAGCUGGUCUGAGAGGAUGACCAGCCACACUGGAACUGAGACACGGUCCAGACUCCUACGGGAGGCAGCAGUGGGGAAUAUUGCACAAUGGGCGCAAGCCUGAUGCAGCCAUGCCGCGUGUAUGAAGAAGGCCUUCGGGUUGUAAAGUACUUUCAGCGGGGAGGAAGGCGAUAAGGUUAAUAACCUUGUCGAUUGACGUUACCCGCAGAAGAAGCACCGGCUAACUCCGUGCCAGCAGCCGCGGUAAUACGGAGGGUGCAAGCGUUAAUCGGAAUUACUGGGCGUAAAGCGCACGCAGGCGGUCUGUCAAGUCGGAUGUGAAAUCCCCGGGCUCAACCUGGGAACUGCAUUCGAAACUGGCAGGCUAGAGUCUUGUAGAGGGGGGUAGAAUUCCAGGUGUAGCGGUGAAAUGCGUAGAGAUCUGGAGGAAUACCGGUGGCGAAGGCGGCCCCCUGGACAAAGACUGACGCUCAGGUGCGAAAGCGUGGGGAGCAAACAGGAUUAGAUACCCUGGUAGUCCACGCCGUAAACGAUGUCGAUUUGGAGGUUGUGCCCUUGAGGCGUGGCUUCCGGAGCUAACGCGUUAAAUCGACCGCCUGGGGAGUACGGCCGCAAGGUUAAAACUCAAAUGAAUUGACGGGGGCCCGCACAAGCGGUGGAGCAUGUGGUUUAAUUCGAUGCAACGCGAAGAACCUUACCUGGUCUUGACAUCCACAGAACUUAGCAGAGAUGCUUUGGUGCCUUCGGGAACUGUGAGACAGGUGCUGCAUGGCUGUCGUCAGCUCGUGUUGUGAAAUGUUGGGUUAAGUCCCGCAACGAGCGCAACCCUUAUCCUUUGUUGCCAGCGGUUCGGCCGGGAACUCAAAGGAGACUGCCAGUGAUAAACUGGAGGAAGGUGGGGAUGACGUCAAGUCAUCAUGGCCCUUACGACCAGGGCUACACACGUGCUACAAUGGCAUAUACAAAGAGAAGCGACCUCGCGAGAGCAAGCGGACCUCAUAAAGUAUGUCGUAGUCCGGAUUGGAGUCUGCAACUCGACUCCAUGAAGUCGGAAUCGCUAGUAAUCGUAGAUCAGAAUGCUACGGUGAAUACGUUCCCGGGCCUUGUACACACCGCCCGUCACACCAUGGGAGUGGGUUGCAAAAGAAGUAGGUAGCUUAACCUUCGGGAGGGCGCUACCACUUUGAUAAGGGC
Molecule: ribosomal RNA, 1441 nt
Filed under: uncultured Klebsiella sp.
Lineage: Bacteria; Pseudomonadati; Pseudomonadota; Gammaproteobacteria; Enterobacterales; Enterobacteriaceae
Description: bacterial SSU rRNA
Rfam family: Bacterial small subunit ribosomal RNA
Source: RNAcentral